CCAUUUCCCCUUUUUAACCCAUUACUCUGUACUCUUCUCCCUCACGCGCACACGCUCUUUUCUUUCCCAGAAAGAACACACAGAACUCUCCUACGCGCCUCCAUUCCUCUUCUUUCUUCAUCUCCAACGAAUUCAACCUACGACGCCAAAGUUCCCUUUUGCUUAGCUGGUUUUGUCACGCGGAGGGCACGAGCUCUUGUACCUGCAUACAGUCCAAACUUUCCCAGGAGGUAUUUUCAUUCCAAUUUCCUUUUCCUUUUUCAAUUUUGUUCGAAAAUAGUAUAAAUUUGUACACCCUCCAACUCACCUAAGCCUCAUCCUCUGAGAAUUUUUGAAUUUGGGAUUCUCCCACAUUGAUCCAGACCCUUUUUUCUUCCUUCUUUUUUCCUUUAUAAAUAGGCUUUUCUUUACUGUUCAAGGGGGGAUUUUUCGGAGAUCAAAGAGUACCCAUAAAGUUUGGGAAUUUUUGGUUCCAUAGUUAAAUAUUUCUAAAAAUUUUUGUGGCUGCUCGAGUUGAGAGUGGUGGAAUCGUCUCUGCCAAACUCGUCGUUCGCUUCACUGCCCAGAACGAGGCUAUUCCCUUGCAUCCGAUCUCUGAGUCAAUCUCUCUUAAGUCAUAAAAAGGGAAGUUAAUACAUUGGUGAAAGCCUUAAAAUCAGCAGCAACAUUGGCCUUGAAAGGUUGAGAAACGAGAAGCAAAAUUUGGGUUAAAAAACCAAAAACCAGUGGCAACAACAGGAGCUCAGAUGAGCUGAAAUUAGAGUGCUUUGGCUCCCAACUGACCGAAAUUUGAACACCUAAUUACUGCAGCAGUUUCAGCAGUCUCCAAAGGGCUGGAAAUAACAUUUUUUGGAUUUAAAAAAGUUUGAAAAUAGCACCAAACAGCAAACAAGAAGCAGCAAGUGGACUUAUAAUUGUCCAAGUUAUAUUUGCACUUUCUUUUCAUUAUAUUGUGAUUUUGUGAUAUUUUCUUUUAACUUCUAACCUUUAUUUUAUCUAACUUAGAUGAAUCCUCGGAAGUUUCUUGAUAA
Molecule: long non-coding RNA, 1031 nt
Organism: Solanum pennellii
Lineage: Eukaryota; Viridiplantae; Streptophyta; Magnoliopsida; Solanales; Solanaceae
Exons: 2
Source: RefSeq, a predicted model, not a curated record